AUACGUAGGGGGCGAGCGUUGUCCGGAAUGAUUGGGCGUAAAGGGCGCGUAGGCGGCGCGGUAAGUCUGGAGUGAAAGUCCUGCUUUCAAGGUGGGAAUUGCUUUGGAUACUGCCGCGCUUGAGUGCAGGAGAGGUUAUCGGAAUUCCCGGUGUAGCGGUGAAAUGCGUAGAGAUCGGGAGGAACACCAGUGGCUAAGGCGGGUAACUGGACUGCAACUGACGCUGAGGCGCGAAAGUGUGGGGAGCAAACAGGAUUAGAUACCCUGGUAGUCCACACUGUAAACGAUGAAUGCUAGGUGUAAGAGGUAUCGACCCCUUUUGUGCCGGAGUCAACGCAAUAAGCAUUCCGCCUGGGGAGUACGGCCGCAAGGUUGAAACUCAAAUGAAUUGGCGGGG
Molecule: ribosomal RNA, 397 nt
Filed under: uncultured bacterium
Lineage: Bacteria
Description: partial 16S ribosomal RNA
Rfam family: Bacterial small subunit ribosomal RNA
Source: RNAcentral